CCCGAAAGAUCGAAUGGGGAGAUUCACCGUCAGCGGCGUCGGCUUCGACGCGGCGCGCGAUGUCGUCGACCUCGCGUCGACGGCACGCGGCCGCGCCGUUCAUGCCCGGCGACGCCGGCGUGCACUUCUCCCUUAGUAGGACGUCGCGACCCGUUAGGCGUCGGUCUACGGCCCGAUCGGUAGACUAACUCCCGCGUUCGCGCGCCGGGGUUAGACCGUCGGCUGCCCGACCGGCUGCCUGGCGGUACCCGCACGGUAUCGAGCCGCAUCCAAAUGCGUCCAGCCCGUCGCAAGCGCGGUCACGGAAACCCGGUGGUCGGACCCAGCGCCGUCCCCGGGCCUGGCCAGCUGUUGGCAGACGGUGUCCUCGGACCGGCUCUCAUUACCGGUCGGCGACGCUAUUGCUUUGGGUACUUUCA
Molecule: ribosomal RNA, 419 nt
Filed under: Sericoceros nr. tannuus SS-2014
Lineage: Eukaryota; Metazoa; Arthropoda; Insecta; Hymenoptera; Argidae
Description: eukaryotic LSU rRNA
Source: RNAcentral